UACAUCUGUGGCAAUGAUAUCUGCCCUUAACCGCCCAAAAAGCUGAUGAUGUCUACUUAAUU
RNAcentral lists this non-coding RNA (62 nucleotides) under Sphingobacterium spiritivorum. Its description in RNAcentral is "Sphingobacterium sp. Fluoride sequence". It matches the Rfam family "Fluoride riboswitch aptamer (crcB RNA motif)". The record is from RNAcentral. Lineage: Bacteria; Pseudomonadati; Bacteroidota; Sphingobacteriia; Sphingobacteriales; Sphingobacteriaceae. RNAcentral also lists the same sequence under 1 other name.